GUGAAAUUUUCGAAUGUUUACAGAGUUUAUUUAACAAUUAUAAAGAAUAAAAAGUUAAUUUUAGAUGAUUGAGCAUAUGAAUGCAUCGAUUUCUUACGAAAGUCUGAUUAAAUCGAGGAUAAAUAUUGGAGACUUUUAAUUAAGAUUAUAUAUUCGUCAUCCGCAAGUUAUAAAAAGCAAAUAUAAUUUUAUAAAAAAUGAUUUACAAAUUAUUAUGUCUACUUCUUGGGAACCUGAUGAGCGUAUGGUUAACCGCUUGUCUCUACAAUGAUUGUGAAUUUCUGCCUGAAUUUACAGACUCAUGUAACAAGGGUCCUGACAAUCUUACGUGUGAAGAUUCCAAAUGUGUCGCAAGUAGUUGAAAAAAUUACCGG
Long non-coding RNA from Cotesia glomerata, 374 nucleotides. RefSeq lists it as uncharacterized. The transcript is spliced from 3 exons. NCBI's taxonomy places the organism in Eukaryota, Metazoa, Arthropoda, Insecta, Hymenoptera, Braconidae. The record is from RefSeq and is a predicted model, not a curated record.